This 510-nucleotide ribosomal RNA is filed under the name uncultured eukaryote. RNAcentral describes it as "bacterial SSU rRNA". It matches the Rfam family "Eukaryotic small subunit ribosomal RNA", at positions 21 to 549 of the family's 1831-position model. The record is from RNAcentral.
UAGUCAUAUGCUUGUCUCAAAAAUUAACACAUGCAUGUCUAAGUAUAAAUAGUAUACAGUGAAACUGCGAAUGGCUCAUUAAAACAGUUAUAGUUUAUUUGAUAAUGGAAAGCUACAUGGAUAACCGUGGUAAUUCUAGAGCUAAUACAUGCUGUCAAGCCCGACUUUUUGGAAGGGUUGUAUUUAUUAGAUAUCAAGCCAAUAUUCCUUCGGGUCUAUUGUGGUGAAUCAUAGUAACUGAUCGAAUCCCUUCUUGGGAUAAAUCAUUCAAGUUUCUGCCCUAUCAGCUUUCGAUGGUAGUGUAUUGGACUACCAUGGCAGUCACGGGUAACGGAGAAUUAGGGUUCGAUUCCGGAGAGGGAGCCUGAGAAACGGCUACCACAUCUACGGAAGGCAGCAGGCGCGAAAAUUGCCCAAUCCCGACACGGGGAGGCAGUGACAAGAAAUAACAACUCUUGGAUUUCUAAGAAGUGUGAUGAGGAUAAUUUACAACCCUUACCGAAAGCAAUU